AGCCGGUCUUCCAACCAAAAAUCGGGUCACGACAGCUGGCGACUCUGCUGGGGACACCCAUAAGAGGGUCAGGCCCAGAACCGCUAACUUAUGGACUUAAAUACCCUUUUGUUUUUGUUUGUUUGUUUCUAUUUUGUGUUCUUUCUUUAGAAAGUUGAAUUAUUAUCUAAAACUAUCUUGUAUCAUUAUUUGCAAGUUCAUGUGAUUAUUUUUUGCAACUUAUUGAGGGGUGGAAAUUUUUUUGUAUGCUUCCUCACACACUAACGCCAUACACUUGAGUUUGCACACACAUGUAUACCCUGGACCCGGAUAUUAGUGAUUAAGAAUUGAGAUAGAAGGGACAUUUGUUUUGCCGGUAAGUGACCUUGAGUCGCAUCUGGUAUUGGCAAAAUGGACCACCCAGAUCGUUCCCAGUAUCAUGAGUUAGCGGCUUGGAGGGCUCGAUCCUUCUCGUUUCUAACAUAUGGUAUUUGGUUUCCUUUCUUCCGUGACUGGAUGCGAUUUGGUGACCUAGAAGUCUAAAGCUCUUAUCGAGUCCACUUUAAUCAAGACCUAGUACCUCCGCCAUAGGGUUGUGACAUUUAGACUAUUCAAAACCUUAUAAGUGUACCUUAUUUAGGACACGAGAAGCAUAACCCAAAC
RNAcentral lists this long non-coding RNA (642 nucleotides) under Lupinus angustifolius (narrow-leaved blue lupine). RNAcentral's name for it is "long non-coding RNA (LANG_LNC003658)". The record is from RNAcentral. Lineage: Eukaryota; Viridiplantae; Streptophyta; Magnoliopsida; Fabales; Fabaceae.